GACGAACGCUGGCGGCGUGCUUAACACAUGCAAGUCGAACGGAAAGGCCCUGCUUUUGUGGGGUGCUCGAGUGGCGAACGGGGGAGUAACACGUGGGUAACCUGCCCUUGACGUUGGGAUAACUUCAUGAAACUUGGGCUAAUACCGGAUAGGAGCUCCUGCUGCAUGGUGGGGGUGGGAAAGUUUCGGCGGUUGGGGGAGGACUCGCGGGCUAUCGGCUUGUUGGUGGGGUAGUGGCUUACCAAGGACUUGCCGGGUAGACGGCCUGAGAGGGUGAACGGCCAGAUAGGGACGGAGAGACGCACCAGCCAGCCACGUGCGGCAGGCGGGGGGAAGGAUGCUCAAUGGGCGGGAGAAUGCUGGAGCAAGGCAGGGCGCGGGAGGACGGAAGUCGGGUGGGAAGCAGAUUUCGCUUGGGACGAAGCGUGAGUGCCGGUACUGGGGAAGGAAGCACGGGCUAACUACGU
This 467-nucleotide ribosomal RNA is filed under the name uncultured bacterium. RNAcentral describes it as "partial 16S ribosomal RNA". It matches the Rfam family "Bacterial small subunit ribosomal RNA", at positions 28 to 506 of the family's 1533-position model. The record is from RNAcentral.